This 2138-nucleotide ribosomal RNA is filed under the name human gut metagenome. Its description in RNAcentral is "bacterial LSU rRNA". It matches the Rfam family "Bacterial large subunit ribosomal RNA", at positions 1 to 2003 of the family's 2925-position model. The record is from RNAcentral.
UGUUGCUUGCAAGGGCGUAUGGUGGAUGCCUUGGCAGACAGGACCGAUGAAGGACGUUUGAGGCUGCGAUAUGCCUCGGGGAGCCGCCAACAGGGCUUUGAUCCGAGGAUUUCCGAAUGGGGGAACCCACCGACCGUCAUGGGUCGGUACCGGCUUCGGCCGGGGGGUACGCAGGGAAGUGAAACAUCUCAGUACCUGCAGGAAAGGAUAUUCCGUGAGUAGUGGCGAGCGAAAGCGGAUGAUGGCCAAACCUUGCGCGUGUGAUACCCGUCGGGGGUUGCGCGCGGGGUGUUGCGGGAUCGCGUGCGCCGGCUCCGACGGGCCGGCCGGCAGUUUUAGAAAAUCAUGUGUCAGGGGAACCGGGUUGAAUACCGGGCCGCAGAGGGUGAGGGCCCCGUACCUGAACGCGCAUGGUCUGCCGAUCGCGUCUCCCAAGUAGCACGGGUCCCGUGGAACCCCGUGCGAAUCCGCCCAGACCGUUGGGUAAGCCUGAAUAUUCCUGUCUGACCGAUAGCGAACGAGUACCGUGAGGGAAAGGUGAAAAGUACCCCGGGAGGGGAGUGAAACAGUCUCUGAAACCGUGCGCCUACAAUCCGUCGGAGCCCUUUUGUGGGGUGACGGCGUGCCUAUCGAAAAAUGAGUCUGCGAGUCAGUGGCAUGUGGCGAGCAUAACCCGUGUGGGGUAUGCGUAGCGAAGGCGAGUCUUAAAAGGCGUUUGAGUCGCGUGUCCUGGACCCGAAGCGGGAUGAUCUAGCCCUGAGCAGGUUGAAGCGCGGGUAAGACCGCGUGGAGGACCGAACCCACCUGGGUUGAAAACCGGGGGGAUGACUUGGGGCUAGGGGUGAAAGGCCAAUCAAAUUCCGUGAUAGCUGGUUCUCUCCGAAAUGCAUUUGGGUGCAGCGUCGGGUCAUUACGUCCCGGGGGUAGAGCUACUGGAUGCUUGCGGGCCCGUAUCGGGUACCAACAGCAACCAAACUCCGAAUACCGGUGACGCGUAUCCCGGCAGUGAGUCGGCGGGGGAUAAGCUUCGUCGUCGAAAGGGAAACAGCCCAGACCGUCGUCUAAGGUCCCGAAGCGUGUGCUAAGUGGGAAAGGAUGUGGAGUCGCAUAGACAGCCAGGAGGUUGGCUCAGAAGCAGCCACCCUUGAAAGAGUGCGUAACAGCUCACUGGUCUAGUGGUUCCGCGCCGACAAUGUAGCGGGGCUCAAGCACACCACCGAAGACGCGGCAGUAUUUUGUACUGGGUAGGAGAGCGUCCCAUGAGGGGCGAAGCGGCCGUGUGAACGCGCCGUGGACUUCAUGGGAGUGAGAAUGCAGACAUGAGUAGCGAGAGACGGGUGAAGAUCCCGUCCGCUGGAUGACCAAGGGUUCCAGGGCCACGUUCAUCGUCCCUGGGUGAGUCGGGUCCUAAGGCGAGGCCGACAGGCGUAGUCGAAUGGAUGAACGGGUCGAUAUUCCCGUACCGGCUUUCAGCCGCCAAAACCGAGGCUUGGAGUACUAACCUCCGGGUCCGGGCUUACUGCUCCUUCGGGGGCGGGAUGCCCUGGCCUGUUGGGACCGAUCCUUGUAGUAGGUCAGCGCAGGAGUGACGCAGAAGGGUAGCCGGCCGCGGAGGUGGUCUUCCGUGGUCAAGCACGCAGGGCGUGGGACAGGCAAAUCCGUCCCGCAUGGGUCCGAGGUGCGAUGAUGGGGGCCUUAUGGCCCGAUAUCCGGUGAUCCCGGCUGCCGAGAAAAGCUUCGGCGUCAGGCUCAAAGCCGCCCGUACCCCAAACCGACACUGGUGGUCAGGUAGAGAAUACCAAAGCGAUCGAGCGAAUCCUGGUCAAGGAACUCGGCAAAUCACUCCCGUUCCUUCGGUUUAAGGGAGACCCCCGAUGGUGAACCGCCUCGCGCGGGGAGCUUUUGGGGGUGGCACAGACCAGGGGGUAGCGACUGUUUACCAAAAACACAGGUGCAUGCGAAGGCGCAAGCCGCUGUAUAUGCACUGACGCCUGCCCGGUGCCGGAAGGUUAAGAGGAUCCGUCAGCCUUCGGGUGAAGCGGUGAAUUCAAGCCCCGGUAAACGGCGGUGGUAACUAUAACCAUCCUAAGGUAGCGAAAUUCCUUGUCGGGUAAGUUCCGACCUGCACGAAUGGCGUA